RNAcentral lists this ribosomal RNA (582 nucleotides) under Rhodotorula graminis. Its description in RNAcentral is "partial large subunit ribosomal RNA". It matches the Rfam family "Eukaryotic large subunit ribosomal RNA", at positions 20 to 606 of the family's 3401-position model. Lineage: Eukaryota; Fungi; Basidiomycota; Microbotryomycetes; Sporidiobolales; Sporidiobolaceae. The record is from RNAcentral.
ACUACCCGCUGAACUUAAGCAUAUCAAUAAGCGGAGGAAAAGAAACUAACAAGGAUUCCCCUAGUAGCGGCGAGCGAAGCGGGAAGAGCUCAAAUUUAUAAUCUGGCACCUUCGGUGUCCGAGUUGUAAUCUCUAGAAGUGUUUUCCGCGUUGGACCGCACACAAGUCUGUUGGAAUACAGCGGCAUAGUGGUGAAACCCCCGUAUAUGGUGCGGACGCCCAGCGCUUUGUGAUACACUUUCAAUGAGUCGAGUUGUUUGGGAAUGCAGCUCAAAUUGGGUGGUAAAUUCCAUCUAAAGCUAAAUAUUGGCGAGAGACCGAUAGCGAACAAGUACCGUGAGGGAAAGAUGAAAAGCACUUUGGAAAGAGAGUUAACAGUACGUGAAAUUGUUGGAAGGGAAACGCUUGAAGUCAGACUUGCUUGCCGGAGCUUGCUUCGGUUUGCAGGCCAGCAUCAGUUUUCCGGGGUGGAUAAUGACGGUUUGAAGGUAGCAGUCUCGGCUGUGUUAUAGCUUUCCGUUGGAUACAUCCUGGGGGACUGAGGAACGCAGCGUGCUUUUUGCGAAAGACUCGUCUCUCACG